This 434-nucleotide ribosomal RNA is filed under the name uncultured Lachnospiraceae bacterium. Its description in RNAcentral is "partial 16S ribosomal RNA". It matches the Rfam family "Bacterial small subunit ribosomal RNA", at positions 341 to 792 of the family's 1533-position model. Lineage: Bacteria; Bacillati; Bacillota; Clostridia; Lachnospirales; Lachnospiraceae. The record is from RNAcentral.
ACGGAAGGCAGCAGUGGGGAAUAUUGCACAAUGGGGGAAACCCUGAUGCAGCGACGCCGCGUGAGUGAAGAAGUAUUUCGGUAUGUAAAGCUCUAUCAGCAAGGAAGAAAAUGACGGUACUUGACUAAGAAGCCCCGGCUAACUACGUGCCAGCAGCCGCGGUAAUACGUAGGGGGCAAGCGUUAUCCGGAUUUACUGGGUGUAAAGGGAGCGUAGACGGUAAUGCAAGUCAGAAGUGAAAGCCCAAGGCUCAACCAUGGGACUGCUUUUGAAACUGUAAUACUAGAGUGCAGGAGAGGUAAGUGGAAUUCCUAGUGUAGCGGUGAAAUGCGUAGAUAUUAGGAGGAACACCAGUGGCGAAGGCGGCUUGCUGGACGAUAACUGACGCUGAGGCUCGAAAGCGUGGGGAGCAAACAGGAUUAGAUACCCUGGUA